This 468-nucleotide ribosomal RNA is filed under the name uncultured bacterium. RNAcentral's name for it is "partial 16S ribosomal RNA". It matches the Rfam family "Bacterial small subunit ribosomal RNA", at positions 28 to 507 of the family's 1533-position model. The record is from RNAcentral.
GACGAACGCUGGCGGCGUGCUUAACACAUGCCAGUCGAACGGAAAGGCCCUGCUUUUGUGGGGUGCUCGAGUGGCGAACGGGUGAGUAACACGUGAGUAACCUGCCCUUGACUUUGGGAUAACUUCAGGAAACUGGGGCUAAUACCGGAUAGGAGCUCCUGCUGCAUGGUGGGGGUUGGAAAGUUUCGGCGGUUGGGGAUGGACUCGCGGCUUAUCAGCUUGUUGGUGGGGUAGUGGCUUACCAAGGCUUUGACGGGUAGCCGGCCUGAGAGGGUGACCGGCCACAAUGGGACUGAGAUACGGCCCAGACUCCUACGGGAGGCAGCAGUGGGGAAUAUUGCACAAUGGGCGGAAGCCUGAUGCAGCAACGCCGCGUGCGGGAUGACGGCCUGCGGGUUGUAAACCGCUUUCGCCUGUGACGAAGCGUGAGUGACGGUAAUGGGUAAAGAAGCACCGGCUAACUACGUG